GAUGAACGCUGGCGGCGUGCUUAACACAUGCAAGUCGAACGAUGACCCCGUGCUUGCACGGGUGGUUAGUGGCGAACGGGUGAGUAACACGUGAGUAACCUGCCCCCGACUUUGGGAUAAGCCCGGGAAACUGGGGCUAAUACCGGAUAUGACUUCUUACCGCAUGGUGGGUUGUUGAGAGAUUUAUCGGUGGGGGAUGGACUCGCGGCCUAUCAGCUUGUUGGUGAGGUAAUGGCUCACCAAGGCGACGACGGGUAGCCGGCCUGAGAGGGUGACCGGCCACACUGGGACUGAGACACGGCCCAGACUCCUACGGGAGGCAGCAGUGGGGAAUAUUGCACAAUGGGCGAAAGCCUGAUGCAGCGACGCCGCGUGAGGGAUGACGGCCUUCGGGUUGUAAACCUCUUUCAGUAGGGAAGAAGCGAAAGUGACGGUACCUGCAGAAGAAGCGCCGGCUAACUACGUG
Molecule: ribosomal RNA, 466 nt
Filed under: uncultured bacterium
Lineage: Bacteria
Description: partial 16S ribosomal RNA
Rfam family: Bacterial small subunit ribosomal RNA
Source: RNAcentral